GAGGUUGUGGCUCAGUGUUAGAGCACUCAUCUUGCAUAUGUGAAGCACUGGGUUCAAUCCUCAGCACCUCA
Molecule: transfer RNA, 71 nt
Filed under: Marmota marmota marmota (Alpine marmot)
Lineage: Eukaryota; Metazoa; Chordata; Mammalia; Rodentia; Sciuridae
Also listed under: 1 other name
Rfam family: tRNA
About the family: Transfer RNA (tRNA) molecules are approximately 80 nucleotides in length. Their secondary structure includes four short double-helical elements and three loops (D, anti-codon, and T loops).
Source: Rfam by way of RNAcentral